GGCUGUGAGUCAGCAUCUUCAGGUCUAUUCCAGCUCUCAACAAUUUGAGGUAAUCCACGUAAAUGAACCAACAACCUUUCUCUCAUUAUCUGAACCAGUUUUGUAUGUAUUUCAUCUCGGUGAACCUUGUAAUCCUGUGCUACACGAUCAAUCUCAGAGAGCAGCAAUAGCUUUCUUAUCUCGGGUACUUUAAGGAAAAGAACUCGCCUGAUUUCAGGAAUAAUAGCAUGUGUAAAACUGAUGACUUGACUUGCAAGGGCCAAGUGUUUAGAAGUAAUAGACUUCAAUCCAGAUACCUGCAUGGCACCAGCUCCAAGAACAAGUUGACAAGUCCUCGUAUUGAAAAAUUUUAAUAUCUCCACAACACGAUGAACAACUUCCGAAGACAGUGCUGGCAAAAAAUUAUUCAUAUCAAUGUACUCUGACAACAUCUUCAGCAAUAUUAAGCCACAGUUUACCAUGUGAUAUCCAACACCUC
RNAcentral lists this unclassified non-coding RNA (478 nucleotides) under Hevea brasiliensis (rubber tree). Lineage: Eukaryota; Viridiplantae; Streptophyta; Magnoliopsida; Malpighiales; Euphorbiaceae. The record is from RNAcentral.